RNAcentral lists this ribosomal RNA (468 nucleotides) under uncultured bacterium. Its description in RNAcentral is "partial 16S ribosomal RNA". It matches the Rfam family "Bacterial small subunit ribosomal RNA", at positions 28 to 507 of the family's 1533-position model. The record is from RNAcentral.
GACGAACGCUGGCGGCGUGCUUAACACAUGCAAGUCGAACGGUAAAGCCAUGCUUUGGUGCUUUGCUCGAGUUGCGAACGGGUGAAUAACACGUCAGUAACCUGCCCCUUACUUAAGCAACACUUCAGAAAACUGUGGCUUAUACCGAAUAGGAUUACCUCCUUAAUGGUUUGCGUUGAAGAGUUUCGGCGGUUGGGGAAGUACUCGCGGCUGAGCAGCUUGUUGGUGGGGUAGUCGCUUAGCAAGGCUUUGACGGGUAGCCGGACUGGGUGGGUGACCGGCCAGAUUGGGCUGGAGCUACGGCACAGACUACUACGGGAGGCAGCAGUGCGGAAGAGAGCAUAAUGCGCGGAAGCGUGAUGCAGUACAGCGGCGUGGGGGGUGACGGGAAUCGGGUUGUAAACCGCUUCUGUCUGUGACGAAGAGUGAGUGACGGUAAUGUGUAAAGAAGCUCCGGCUAACUACAUG